Molecule: ribosomal RNA, 447 nt
Filed under: uncultured bacterium
Lineage: Bacteria
Description: bacterial SSU rRNA
Rfam family: Bacterial small subunit ribosomal RNA
Source: RNAcentral
UUCCAGACUCCUACGGGAGGCAGCAGUGGGGGAUAUUGCACAAUGGGGGAAACCCUGAUGCAGCGACGCCGCGUGAGUGAAGAAGUAUUUCGGUAUGUAAAGCUCUCUCAGUAGGGAAGAAAAUGACAGUACCUGACCAAGAAGCCCCGGCUAACUACGUGCCAGCAGCCGCGGUAAUACGUAGGGGGCAAGCGUUAUCCGGAUUUACUGGGUGUAAAGGGAGCGUAGACGGUUAUGUAAGUCUGGAGUGAAAGCCCGGGGCCCAACCCCGGGACUGCUUUGGAAACUGUGUAACUGGAGUACAGGAGGGGCAGGCGGAAUUCCUGGUGUAGCGGUGAAAUGCGUAGAUAUCACGAAGAACCCCGAUUGCGAAGGCAGCCUGCCGCAGCGUUACUGACGCUGAAGCUCGAAAGCGCGGGUAUCGAACAGGAUUAGAUACCCGGGUAU